This 433-nucleotide ribosomal RNA is filed under the name uncultured bacterium. Its description in RNAcentral is "partial 16S ribosomal RNA". It matches the Rfam family "Bacterial small subunit ribosomal RNA", at positions 29 to 507 of the family's 1533-position model. The record is from RNAcentral.
AACGAACGCUGGCGGCAUGCCUAACACAUGCAAGUCGAACGAGACCUUCGGGUCUAGUGGCGCACGGGUGCGUAACGCGUGGGAACCUGCCCUUAGGUUCGGAAUAACUCCCCGAAAGGGGUGCUAAUACCGGAUAAUGUCUUCGGACCAAAGAUUUAUCGCCUUUGGAUGGGCCCGCGUUGGAUUAGCUAGUUGGUAGGGUAAAAGCCUACCAAGGCGACGAUCCAUAGCUAGUCUGAGAGGAUGAUCAGCCACACUGGGACUGAGACACGGCCCAGACUCCGACGGGAGGCAGCAGUAGGGAAUAUUGGACAAUGGGCGAAAGCGUGAUCCAGCAAUGCCGCGUGAGUGAUGAAGGCCUUAGGGUUGUAAAGCUCUUUUACCCGGGAUGAUAAUGACAGUACCGGGAGAAUAAGCACCGGCUAACUCCGUG